Molecule: ribosomal RNA, 253 nt
Filed under: uncultured bacterium
Lineage: Bacteria
Description: partial 16S ribosomal RNA
Rfam family: Bacterial small subunit ribosomal RNA
Source: RNAcentral
GACGUAGGGCGCAAGCGUUGUCCGGAUUUAUUGGGCGUAAAGAGCUCGUAGGCGGCUUGUUGCGUCGUCCGUGAAAACCCGUGGCUCAACUGCGGGCUUGCGGACGAUACGGGCAGGCUGGAGUUCGGUAGGGGAGACUGGAAUUCCUGGUGUAGCGGUGAAAUGCGCAGAUAUCAGGAGGAACACCGGUGGCGAAGGCGGGUCUCUGGGCCGAUACUGACGCUGAGGAGCGAAAGCAUGGGGAGCGAACAGG